Molecule: ribosomal RNA, 120 nt
Filed under: uncultured bacterium
Lineage: Bacteria
Description: partial 16S ribosomal RNA
Rfam family: Bacterial small subunit ribosomal RNA
Source: RNAcentral
AACGAACGCUGGCGGCAGGCCUAACACAUGCAAGUCGAACGCUCGUAGCAAUACGAGAGUGGCGGACGGGAGAGAAACGCGUGGGUAUCUACCUAGCAGUACGGAAUAACCGCGGGAAAC